Molecule: long non-coding RNA, 845 nt
Organism: Arachis duranensis
Lineage: Eukaryota; Viridiplantae; Streptophyta; Magnoliopsida; Fabales; Fabaceae
Exons: 4
Source: RefSeq, a predicted model, not a curated record
AUAGUCUCACUCUUACCGCCUCACUCACUCCCCGACGAAGGUGAGAGAGAAAUCAGUUCCCGUCGAGUCCUCAUCGUCACGUCAUUUUUUGUUCACCAUCUCCUCCUCUAGUCACGCCAGCUCCUUUGCUCACUCCUUUGUCACAUAUCCUUGCAUCACCAUCUAGAUUUGCCAUUUCUCAUCGUCACAUCGUUCUUUUCUCACUAUUGCCUCCUCUGGUCUCGCCGCCUCCUCUGCUCACUCUUUUAUUGCAGAUCGUCGCAUCGCUGUCUAGAUCUGCCAUUCCUCAUCGCGACGUCGUUCUUUUCUCAUUAUUUUCUCCUCUGUUCUCGUCACCUCCUCUACUCACCCAUUUGUCAUCGAUUCUUGCAUCACUGUCCAGAUCUGUCGUUGCUUGUCAUUGUGUCGUUCUUUUAUCACUGCCACCUCCUCUGGUAACUUCUUCUCCGGCAACAACAACAAUAACAAUAGUUCGCCGAUGAAGCUAACAGGUGAUCAAACUGCUUUAGCAUUGCGAUAGUUUCUGGCUGCUUUCUCAUCCAAGAUUUCUUCAGAUACUAACCAUUCUUUUGGUGACGAGAAAGCUAAUGAAAACUUGGAUGAAGUGGUGACUCUUCCUAAAGACCUCCAAACUGAGGUUAAGGCAUUCUUUGAGGAAGGAAAAAAAAGUGCGCUUACUGAGAUUUAGAUUAUAAAUAUAUUUUAGUUUCUAACUGCCAAGCCUACUAUAUAGGAUUCUGAAAGCUUCUUGGGGUUUUUUGCUCCUUUUCGUGCAAAUGAAAUUCCUUUUUUUAUGCUUGUUCUUUGUAACAUUUGAGGUCCUUGACUAUAAAGUCAUCAAUGUA